CUACUGCUGCCCCUGCUGUGGGCAGGUGAGUGGCUGUGGGGAGAGGGGUUGUCGGGCUGGGCCGAGCUGACCCUCGUUUCCCCACAGGGGCCCUGGCUAUGGAUCCAAAAAUCCGGCUGCAAGUGCAGGAGUCAGUGACGGUACAGGAGGGUUUGUGCGUCCUCGUGCCCUGCACUUUCUUCCAUCCCAUACCCUACUACGACAAGAAUUCCCCAGUUCAUGGUUACUGGUUCCGGGAAGGACCCAUUGUAUCCGGGGACUCUCCAGUGGCCACAAACAAGCCAGAUCAAGAAGUACAGGAGGAGACUCAGGGCAGAUUCCGCCUCCUUGGGGAUCUCAGUAGGAACAACUGCUCCCUGAGCAUCGUAGACGCCAGGAGGAGGGAUAAUGGUUCAUACUUCUUUCGGAUGGAGAGAGGAAGUACCAAAUACAGUUACAAAUCUCCCCAGCUCUCUGUGCAUGUGACAGACUUGACCCACAGGCCCAAAAUCCUCAUCCCUGGCGCCCUAGACCCCGGCCACUCCAAAAACCUGACCUGCUCUGUGUCCUGGGCCUGUGAGCAGGGAACACCCCCGAUCUUCUCCUGGUUGUCAGCUGCCCCCACCUCCCUGGGCCCCAGGACUACUCACUCCUCGGUGCUCAUAAUCACCCCACGGCCCCAGGACCACGGCACCAACCUGACCUGUCAGGUGAAGUUCGCUGGAGCUGGUGUGACUACGGAGAGAACCAUCCAGCUCAAUGUCACCUAUGUUCCACAGAACCCAACAACUGGUAUCUUUCCAGGAGAUGGCUCAGGGAAACAAGAGACCAGAGCAGGAGUGGUUCAUGGGGCCGUUGGAGGAGCUGGUAUUACAGCCCUGCUCGCUCUUUGUCUCUGCCUCAUCUUCUUCAUUCCCUCAUUCCAGGCUCAUAACAAUGGCCCCACAGCCUGAGAAAACCAGGCUCAAAGACCCUGGUGUCUCCCAUCAGAGUGAAGACCCACAGGAGGAAAGCAGCCAGGACAGCAGUGGGCAGGAAUGACACCCACCCUACCACAGGGCCAGCCUCCCCGAAACACCAGAAGAAGUCCAAGUUACAUGGCCCCACUGAAACCUCAAGCUAUUCAGGUGCCGCCCCUACUGUGGAGAUGGAUGAGGAGCUGCAUUAUGCUUCCCUCAACUUUCAUGGGAUGAAUCCUUCCAAGGACACCUCCACCGAAUACUCAGAGGUCAGGACCCAGUGAGAAACCCACAAGAGCAUCAGGCUCAGCUAGAAGAUCCACAUCCUCUACAGUUCGGGGACCAAAGGCUGAUUCUUGGAGAUUUAACACCCCACAGGCAAUGGGUUUAUAGACAUUAUGUGAGUUUCCUGCUAUAUUAACAUCAUCUUAGACUUUGCAAGCAGAGAGUCGUGGAAUCAAAUCUGUGCUCUUUCAUUUGCUAAGUGUAUGAUGUCACACAAGCUCCUUAACCUUCCAUGUCUCCAUUUUCUUCUCUGUGAAGCAGGUAUAAGAAGUCCUAUCUCAUAGGGAUGCUGUGAGCAU
Molecule: small RNA, 1522 nt
Filed under: Pan troglodytes (chimpanzee)
Lineage: Eukaryota; Metazoa; Chordata; Mammalia; Primates; Hominidae
Description: retained intron
Source: RNAcentral